UACGUAGGGUCCGAGCGUUGUCCGGAAUUACUGGGCGUAAAGAGCUCGUAGGUGGUUUGUCGCGUUGUUCGUGAAAACUCACAGCUCAACUGUGGGCGUGCGGGCGAUACGGGCAGACUUGGGUACUGCAGGGGAGACUGGAAUUCCUGGUGUAGCGGUGGAAUGCGCAGAUAUCAGGAGGAACACCGGUGGCGAAGGCGGGUCUCUGGGACGGUACUGACGCUGAGACGCGAAAGCGUGGGGAGCGAACAGG
This 253-nucleotide ribosomal RNA is filed under the name uncultured bacterium. Its description in RNAcentral is "partial 16S ribosomal RNA". It matches the Rfam family "Bacterial small subunit ribosomal RNA", at positions 524 to 776 of the family's 1533-position model. The record is from RNAcentral.